UACAGAGGGGGCAAGCGUUGUUCGGAAUUACUGGGCGUAAAGGGCGCGUAGGCGGCCUGUUAAGUCGAACGUGAAAUCCCCGGGCUCAACCCGGGAACUGCGUCCGAUACUGGCAGGCUUGAAUUCGGGAGAGGGAUGUGGAAUCCAGGUGUAGCGGUGAAAUGCGUAGAUAUCUGGAGGAACACCGGUGGCGAAGGCGGCAUCCUGGACCGAUAUUGACGCUGAUGCGCGAAAGCCAGGGGAGCAAACGGG
Molecule: ribosomal RNA, 252 nt
Filed under: uncultured bacterium
Lineage: Bacteria
Description: partial 16S ribosomal RNA
Rfam family: Bacterial small subunit ribosomal RNA
Source: RNAcentral